Molecule: long non-coding RNA, 1723 nt
Filed under: Sorghum bicolor (sorghum)
Lineage: Eukaryota; Viridiplantae; Streptophyta; Magnoliopsida; Poales; Poaceae
Description: long non-coding RNA (SBIC_LNC018645)
Source: RNAcentral
CCUAUCGUGUGCAUAAAUAAAAUGGUGGUUCAUUACUUCUGCAUGAGAAGGCAACCAGAAGCUAGAUGGCUGACCCAUGGUACAAAUUCCAAGCAUCACCACGGACAGAAUACAAGGAGUUACGUGGCAUUCUACAGGUGGAUGAAAGCAUCUUUAAGUCUAUGUUGCAGCCCAUCAAACAGUUCAUUAUUUAGACUUCCCAAUAAAGAGUUAUGCUCAUUUUAGUAACUGCUGCCAGAAGCUGAGAAGACGCGCGAACCAGCCACGAAAUCCACUAGUGGAUGUGCAUGCUGUCAUGUAUUCAAAGCUGAACGCCCCUAUCUAUAUAUAUCCCUUGUACUAGACAAUGAAAGGACACAUCUUGCUUGGUUAAAAUUCAGAAUACACAAACUCGUGGAGUUUUGUUUAUGCGUGAGUCUUGAGAGGCUUGCAAAACUUGUUCUUUCGAUUCCUGAGGGAGUUGUAGAACGCCGAACUGCGGUUCAUCCAGUUUGUGCCUUCACGUCUAUACGGCGUGAUUGCGUGGGCUGUUCGUCGGUACAUGGAAGGGUGAUUGUCUCGGUAGUUCGUCGCGUGGACAGCCUCGCGGUGCACUGCCUCUUCACCAGGUCACGCAGCGACAAGUUAUCAAGUUCGCGAAUCCUACGAGAAGAUCGGGCCACAACGACUUGUCUCACGCUAUCCCUAGGCGUGAGCAUAUCAUCUGGUACCAAAGCCUUCGUUUCCUCGGUAGGAUUGUUCUUGAUUUUGGUAGGAUAGAGUUUAAAUACCUACUGUCCACUGAGAGCCAAAAAGAAAACCUACAGCCCAAAUUCAUAUGUGCUACUGAUUUUGUAGUUUGCUUUAUCGAGUUUUAAUCCUUUAAUAUUUGUCUAGUUGCUGAAUUUUUCUUUUCCACAAUGUUCUAGUUAUUAUCUUUGUUCUAAUCAUCAAAUUGCUUGCUGCAUGUACCCAUCCAUCCCACCCUUGUUUUCUAACCGCCACAUAUUCCCCACCGCAGUUUCUUGUUUUUGUGCUGCACCAUCCAUCUUAGUGAUCCCCUUUAGUUGAAAGUUGUGCUGCGUUUGACACAGAGGUUAAAAGAAAAGAUGUCUAUGGGUCAAAAGAAGGACUGAAAACGAGUUUUUGUUCCAAAAAAAAAGAGAAAAAAAAAGAAAAGCAAGAAAGAAAAAAAAAGAAAAACAAAAAGAGAACUGUGUGCAGCACACCAAAAAGGGGUUUGGGCAGCAACAAGUUUUCGGUUGGUGCAAAUUGGUGAUCAUCUAUCCACUUACUACAUCUCAUUCCUUUCUUUGUGCAUCCUUUCCUUUAUAUUCAGCAACUUAGACUUCUGUUCUUGGAUUAUUAUUUGGUUUUGCAUCACUAUAUUUCAGUGCAUUCCACUAACAUAUUACCCCACCAAGCUCCACUUAAAGCACCGUGAGUUGUUGCACCGUCGUCGCUGUUACAAUCACUCUUCCCUACAGAUCGCAGCCCUGGUUCUUGCUCUUUUCAGGGAGAGAAAGAACUUGUUUUGUAAGUGGUGAGGGAGUGAUUCCACAUAUAUAUUGUCCUUUUUUUUCCUCUACUAACAUGGCAGGACGUGGAGAUGGUGCCGCUGUUUCGGUGGAGGAAUUUCAGGAGUUGCGUACACAAAUGAAUGAUUUGGUGCAGCAGCUCCAAACUCUCCAAUUGAACAUACCACGUCGAGAACCGCCAUCAAAUGAGGAUGAUGAUAUUGACG